UUCAACCCGAUCGAGCUACUGCUACUGCUCGAUCAACACAAACGCCCGCAUUGGUACUGUGUUGGUGUGUGGUACAAAUUAUUCAUAUCAAUACUUGUAAUGGCUGCCUGACCCGCGCGCGCGGCUGCACUUGUGCCGCCGACGCUGAGCCACCAGCGUACAGAUCAGCCACGGCCAGGGUACCCCGGAUAGCCGCCGCCGGUACCGUUGCCGCCAGGAUAGCCGCCGCCACCCGGCAGGCCACCGCCAGGAUAGCCGCCGCCGCCGCCGCCGCCUGCCACUGGUGCCGCGCCGAACGCCUGCUGGACCCAGUCGACGGUGGCCUUCUCGAGCAUGAAGGCCCUGGCGAGGAUCUCGUCGAGGAUGGGCGGCUUGGCGCCGAACACGGCGUUGGCGAUGGUGAUGGUGCCGGGGUUCUGGCUGCUGAGCGCGGCGAUGGCCACGGCGGGGGUCUUGCCGUUGUUGAGCUGGAAGUGGAUGAGCCCCUGCGGGAAGACGAACACGUCGCCCAUGACCAGCUGCUUGGUGAAGAGC
Molecule: long non-coding RNA, 534 nt
Filed under: Sorghum bicolor (sorghum)
Lineage: Eukaryota; Viridiplantae; Streptophyta; Magnoliopsida; Poales; Poaceae
Description: long non-coding RNA (SBIC_LNC011423)
Source: RNAcentral